This 364-nucleotide ribosomal RNA is filed under the name uncultured eukaryote. RNAcentral describes it as "SSU rRNA". It matches the Rfam family "Eukaryotic small subunit ribosomal RNA", at positions 567 to 990 of the family's 1831-position model. The record is from RNAcentral.
CCAGCAGCUGCGGUAAUUCCAGCUCCAAUAGUAUACAUUAAAGUUGUUGCAGUUAAAACGCUCGUAGUCGGAAGGUGGGGGGCCGGGGGCGGAGCGAGGCGACUCGGAUCUGCAGCUGGUGCCCUUCGGGAGUGGGUCAACCACCCCCGCGUUACUGUGAGGAAAUUAGAGUGUUCAAGGCAGGCGUACGCUUGGAUAGGUUAGCAUGGAAUAACGGAGAGGUCCGUUGGUUGGAGCUUGGGUUGAUAGGGACAGUUGGGGGCAUUGGUAUUUGGCAGUCAGAGGUGAAAUUCUAGGAUUUGCCAAAGACGGACGGGGGCGAAAGCAUUUGCCAAGGAUGUUUUCAUUGAUCAAGAACGAAAGU